ACUCCUACGGGAGGCAGCAGUGGGGAAUAUUGCACAAUGGGGGAAAGCCCAUCGAUGCAGCCAUGCCGCGUGUGUGAAGAAGGCCUUCGGGUUGUAAAGCACUUUCAGUCGUGAGGAAGGUAGUGUAGUUAAUAGCUGCAUUAUUUGACGUUAGCGACAGAAGAAGCACCGGCUAACUCCGUGCCAGCAGCCGCGGUAAUACGGAGGGUGCGAGCGUUAAUCGGAAUUACUGGGCGUAAAGCGCGUGUAGGUGGCUUGUUAAGCCAGAUGUGAAAG
This 276-nucleotide ribosomal RNA is filed under the name uncultured bacterium. RNAcentral's name for it is "partial 16S ribosomal RNA". It matches the Rfam family "Bacterial small subunit ribosomal RNA", at positions 335 to 600 of the family's 1533-position model. The record is from RNAcentral.